CAUAAAGUGUUUUGAUCAAUCCAAUGACACUUACUUUUGUAAUGUCGUUUAUUGAAGGUGGCAGAAUAUUUUGUCACUUACUUAAAAAUUAAUACAUCAAACGAAAUUAAGGCGAAAAAAUCCAUCAAAACAGCUUGACUCCUCUUUGCUGGAGUUCCUCACCCAAGUCAAUGACAUAAGUCCUUGGUUUUGCUCACUUUUGGAAUCAGAGGGGGCAGCCUUCGGGUGUGACUGGGAGGUGUUUGAUCAGGAAAAAAAGGAAAAAAAAAAAUAUGGAAAAGCAGAAUGUUGCCAAGAAGGGGUGGGAUUUGGGGUGGAGGCCAGAAAAAAAAUAGGAAAGUUCCUUCAUGCACUUGAAGAAACAUUUAUUUCUGCCUCCCUCAGGCCAGGGCCUCUUCUAUUGACGUCUUCUCCGGAGGGGUAAUCCCGUCGACAAAUGUCAGAUUCUGAUUAUCUGAGGAACUUGAGUCGCCCUCGCUUCCGACCCUCUCUCCCCUGAACUGCCUUGAAGCGGGGGAGAUAGGCUGGAAAGGGGAGGAAGGGAGAGGCGAAGGCCGCCUCGCAGAGCACAUCUGCUGUGUUCAGCCGGAGCGUCUGUCAAGCAGUGGGAGGGAAAAGCGCAUGAAGCCAC
RNAcentral lists this long non-coding RNA (631 nucleotides) under Bos taurus (domestic cattle). RNAcentral's name for it is "long non-coding RNA NONBTAT029088". Lineage: Eukaryota; Metazoa; Chordata; Mammalia; Artiodactyla; Bovidae. The record is from RNAcentral.